RNAcentral lists this long non-coding RNA (659 nucleotides) under Numida meleagris (helmeted guineafowl). RNAcentral's name for it is "lncRNA (ENSNMEG00000017826.1)". Lineage: Eukaryota; Metazoa; Chordata; Aves; Galliformes; Numididae. The record is from RNAcentral.
AUGAGAGCAAACAGCAGCAAGAGGAUCAAUAAAGCACCAGGAGUCUUAGUGACUUCAUAUGCAGAAAGAUACUGCUUGCAGGAGGUUUUUGACACUUUUUUUCCUUACUUUUCAUGGACUGUCUAAAAAAUGUUUUCUCCUUUGUGUAAGGAAGAAUCUACAGAAUUUUUGAACCUUACUAUGUUUUUUGUGAAGAGGAUCUUUCUGUGAAAGGUAUUUAAAUAGGAUAUGUGAAUUUCUUGCUAUUAAGUUAAUACCCAUGUGAAAGUACUAAAACUAUCAAGAUAAUAAUAUAGAACUGCUAAAAGGCAAAAUUGUAGCUUAAAAAAUAUCUGAAAGUAGCAUUCUGUGUAGUUCAGCCCACUACAGUUAUCUCUCUAGCAGAUAUUUUUAGUAUUUUUUAAAUUAUAUGUAAUUAAAAUAUCCUCAGUAACUGCAGAGUACAUCUGGUGAAGGAGAACGUUAAUGUCAGUUUAAUUCCUGCGCACAUCAUUAGGGUAGAGAAAUACUAGCUAUCACACAGAUUGUUACCAUACUGUAUUUAUUAUCAACAGAGAAUACAUGUAGGAAAAAGGUUCUUUUUUCAAAAAUAAUCUACAGUUUAUUUCUACUAAAUUAUAGUUAAUAAAAGCAUUAGCAUCUAUGGUCUCCUGAUUUUU